AAAAUACGAUUUUCUUGAGUUUUGAAUAGAAAAUAAUCAUCAUAUCGUUUAAUACAGCAUAUCAAAUCGAAUCAUUUUUCUACAGUAACAAGAAAUUACAGCAACAGUGUUUCCAACAGACAGAUGAACUACACAAUUUUCCGAACGUAUGUCGAUUAGUUUUCUGACGUAAAUCCAGGUCUUCAUUGUUUACGUGAUUACAAUGUUAAAGUUGUGAGUGCCUGCAGUUGUGAAAGUGGUUGAAACAUCUAGAACAGCGUGGAAAAACAUUCGUUCCCAAUGAAAACGUCCAGCGCUCUAAUUAGUACCCGCCUUUCAAUAUAUCAGGAUGGAGCACCACUGCACUGGCACCAUCUUGUAAGAGUAUUUCAUCGUCCUACAUGCUUCCCCUUCCAACAUCUUUGGGUGAACUACGACGCCACAUAGCAGAAUCAGUGAAUGCAGUAAAUCGAGACAUAUACAUAAAGUAAAGAAUUUGUUUAUCAGCUGGAUGCUUUUCAUGCAUCAGGUGGAGGGCACACUGGAAUUUAUGAAAACUGCUGAUGUGAGAGGGAUGGAAAAUGUUUCUAAAAGAAGAAUAUGGGAGUUAUUGCUGGGAUCUGCACACCAUUUUACACAGAACUUUGUCAUGGCGGUAAUUAAGGUGUUUACAAUGAGAAUGUUCAAGAAAGAAUUUUAAAUUCACCUUCUACAAUUUUUAAUGAUACAACAGUAUCAAACAGUUAACAGUAAAUUCCUUGCCUUUUCUCUUAGUAACAUGUUUCCGUGUCAACUUUCUCUAUAAAUAAUUUAAAUAUAGAAUUAGACCUUGUGUGCUUGUUACCUUUGUGAAAUCACAAUUAUGUGUGUGGCAUUUGUUCUUUCUAACAUGUCGAAAAGAACAGACACUACAAAUAUAAUGGUACUAAUUAUAA
RNAcentral lists this long non-coding RNA (914 nucleotides) under Schistocerca americana (American grasshopper). RNAcentral's name for it is "uncharacterized LOC124612237, transcript variant X3". Lineage: Eukaryota; Metazoa; Arthropoda; Insecta; Orthoptera; Acrididae. The record is from RNAcentral.